UACGAAGGGGGCUAGCGUUGCUCGGAAUGACUGGGCGUAAAGGGCGCGUAGGCGGAUUGUACAGUCAGGCGUGAAAUUCCCGGGCUCAACCUGGGGGCUGCGCUUGAGACGUGCGAUCUUGAGUGGGGAAGAGGGUCGUGGAAUUCCCAGUGUAGAGGUGAAAUGCGUAGAGAUCGGGAGGAACACCAGUGGCGAAGGCGGCUACCUGGACCAGCACUGACACUGAGGCACGAAAGCGUGGGGAGCAAACAGG
RNAcentral lists this ribosomal RNA (253 nucleotides) under uncultured bacterium. RNAcentral describes it as "partial 16S ribosomal RNA". It matches the Rfam family "Bacterial small subunit ribosomal RNA", at positions 524 to 776 of the family's 1533-position model. The record is from RNAcentral.